RNAcentral lists this unclassified non-coding RNA (200 nucleotides) under soil metagenome. RNAcentral describes it as "partial contains internal transcribed spacer 2 and large subunit ribosomal RNA". The record is from RNAcentral.
CUGUUCGAGCGUCAUUACACCACUCAAGCCCGGCUUGGUAUUGGGCGGUAGGGCUACCCUACGCCUCAAUUUCACCGGCUGGACGACCCGAUUCUCAGCGUUGUGGCAUCAAAAUUCGCUGGCGAGGGGGGUGGUCUGGCCGUCAAAAUUUUCAUUCAAAGGUUGACCUCGGAUCAGGUAGGGAUACCCGCUGAACUUAA